UUUCAUUGGUAUUAAUAGUUAAGAUCUUUAAAUUAAAAGAAUUUGACGGUAAUUUAUCAUUUCAGAGGAGCCUGUCCUUUAAUCGAUACCCCACGUUAAAUUUUACCUUAAAUUUUUGCCUAUAUACCUCUGUUUUAGAGUGUUUUAUUAGGAUUAUUCUCUUUUAUUUUUUAAAAAUUUAUAUCAGGUCAAGGUUUAGCUAUAUUAAGGUUGAGAUGGGCUACAUUUAUUCUUAUUAUUAGAUCUUCAUAUUUAUUUAUGGAAGUGAAAUUGGAUUUGGUAGUAAUUUGUAUUAUAUUUUAUUUAUGAUAUUUGUUCUAGAUUAAG
This 327-nucleotide ribosomal RNA is filed under the name Sastragala sp. NKU0154168. RNAcentral describes it as "partial 12S rRNA". The record is from RNAcentral. Lineage: Eukaryota; Metazoa; Arthropoda; Insecta; Hemiptera; Acanthosomatidae.